GAUGAACGCUGGCGGCGUGCCUAAUACAUGCAACUCGAGCGAACAGACGAGGAGCUUGCUCCUCUGACGUUAGCGGCGGACGGGUGAGUAACACGUGGAUAACCUACCUAUAAGACUGGGAUAACUUCGGGAAACCGGAGCUAAUACCGGAUAAUAUAUUGAACCGCAUGGUUCAAUAGUGAAAGACGGUUUUGCUGUCACUUAUAGAUGGAUCCGCGCCGCAUUAGCUAGUUGGUAAGGUAACGGCUUACCAAGGCAACGAUGCGUAGCCGACCUGAGAGGGUGAUCGGCCACACUGGAACUGAGACACGGUCCAGACUCCUACGGGAGGCAGCAGUAGGGAAUCUUCCGCAAUGGGCGAAAGCCUGACGGAGCAACGCCGCGUGAGUGAUGAAGGUCUUCGGAUCGUAAAACUCUGUUAUUAGGGAAGAACAAAUGUGUAAGUAACUAUGCACGUCUUGACGGUACCUAAUCAGAAAGCCACGGCUAACUACGUG
RNAcentral lists this ribosomal RNA (497 nucleotides) under uncultured bacterium. RNAcentral describes it as "partial 16S ribosomal RNA". It matches the Rfam family "Bacterial small subunit ribosomal RNA", at positions 28 to 507 of the family's 1533-position model. The record is from RNAcentral.